UGACCGGUAUGGGAGAAGACUGCCACCC
RNAcentral lists this unclassified non-coding RNA (28 nucleotides) under Mus musculus (house mouse). Its description in RNAcentral is "oocyte_clustered_small_RNA6389". Lineage: Eukaryota; Metazoa; Chordata; Mammalia; Rodentia; Muridae. The record is from RNAcentral.